GUUGGGGUUAGUGUUGCUCAGUUCUUUAGUUUUCUAUGCUGUGUGUUUUGCCAUGGUGUUGUAUUUUUUUUUUCUUAUGAGUUUAAAUGUAAAUUUGAUAUCCCCUUAUCUCUUAUUUAACAUACGGUACGAUUAUUUUGGAACAAGUGAAAAGGAAAACACUAUAAACAUAUCAGAUUCACAUAUACACGUAAAACAAACAAG
RNAcentral lists this long non-coding RNA (204 nucleotides) under Mytilus galloprovincialis (Mediterranean mussel). The record is from RNAcentral. Lineage: Eukaryota; Metazoa; Mollusca; Bivalvia; Mytilida; Mytilidae.